Molecule: non-coding RNA, 576 nt
Organism: Cricetulus griseus (Chinese hamster)
Lineage: Eukaryota; Metazoa; Chordata; Mammalia; Rodentia; Cricetidae
Source: RefSeq, a predicted model, not a curated record
CACACACACACACACCAACAUGAUGUAGGGAAUCCCUCAUUGAGACUCUCAGGUGAUCCUGGGUUGUGUCGUUGCCAACUAAUGCUAACCAUGACAUGUAUCACGGGCAAUGAAGACACAGUUCCACACCAGAGCUCCCGCACAGGAGUAAACACCUAUUGCUGUGAAGUAUACUGUUUCUGUGGAAUAGAAGCAUUCUUUAAAGGAAGAACUAACCAUGUAACAUCCUCUCCAAGACUCAGGGGGCAUCAUAGAAGAGUGGUUGGAAGGAAUGGAAGAGCAUGAAGAUGGCAUAUACUCCAAAUCCUAACCAGAAUAACACCAUCUUGCAGCAAGCCACACUCUGCUGGUCUAUAUGCCAGACUACAACCAAACAAACCAUCCUUCUCACAAUUAGAUGUUGUUUUGUAAGACCAGCAAAAUCUUUGAUGAGUUUCCCAGUGUCUGUCUGUGCCUUAUGUUUUCCGAGUUUGUUGUCUACUCUAAUGCUUAACUGUUAAUCCCAAAGAGGCAAGGGAAAAGACCACCAACCCAAAUCAUCAUGAACAAAUUAAAUAAAGCAAUUAAUUAAAGCAA